AUGCGCGAGAUCUUCGCACACGUGGCGCCGGGCGUUCUCGACCUCGUACGCUGCGCAGGCAUGUGCACACGCUGGUUUCGCCUCAUCAGCUGCUCGGCCUUCCUCCGGCGCGUCGGCAUCUCGUCGGAGAACGCGCGCCACCGGUCCUCCUUCCUCCUUGGUGCCUUCUACAUAUCGCAAGCGACACCCGUGAAAAUACCCAAGCUGGGCAAGAAAAGGAAAUCCGACGACCCUCCGCGGUUCUUCAGACUUCGUACGCAGCAGACAGGCGGCGACCGCCUCACCUUCACCACGUUCAUCCCCAACAAGAAUGGAAUCUUCAACUAUGCGUGGCCCCUGGCGGCGCAUCGCGGCCUUCUCCUGGUGGAACGCUUGACCCAUGACUGGCGGAAGCUCCAUCUGGCCGUGUGCCAUCCCCUGAUUGGCGAGGGGAGCACGCGUCUACUCCCACCGCCUCCGCAGGAUCUGGACCCCAUGAACGUCGGGUAUCAUAUGACUGGCUAG
RNAcentral lists this ribosomal RNA (504 nucleotides) under Triticum aestivum (bread wheat). Its description in RNAcentral is "partial small subunit ribosomal RNA". The record is from RNAcentral. Lineage: Eukaryota; Viridiplantae; Streptophyta; Magnoliopsida; Poales; Poaceae.